AGCCUCUGGGUGCAGAACCCUCGAGCCGCCUGCGCCUCCACGGUCUGUCUGCCCCGCUCCUGCGACUCCGCUUUGUCGCCUCUGCUGUUCCUCCGGUGCUCUUCCCCACCGCGGCCCCUGCCUUCCCGCGCUGCUGGCCCGAGGCCGCCCCCUCCGCAGGCCUCCUCUCCUCCUGGAGUCCCAGAGUCACCGCAGGGAGUGAGUCCCCGGCCGAGGUGCAAUCGAAGUGUCCGAGGCGCGGCUUACCUCUUGGCCUUCUCUUCCAGGUCGGUGGACUCAAGCUCGAUUGUUUUUUUUCUCCCCACCCCGACUGCCGUGCUGUCUGCGGUUAGAAGCGCUAGGCUGCUGGGGUAGCGGGACCCACACUGCCUGAGAACGGAAAGAACGUGUCCGGUCGCUCUGCGAUCCCUCCUGGAACUGAUCAGAAGCCGCUUGCAGAGGGGCCCACUGGGCGGGGCGGGGGUUGAGCCCCAGGCUGGAGCAGGGACAGUCUCGGUUCGCGGCCUGUAACCGGGUUCUCAUCCCCCGCGCCUCGCGAGGCCGCGGUGCCUCCGCUCCGCAGCGCACCGCUUCGGGCACCUCCAGACCAGGUCUUUAUAUAUAUACAUAAAAGAUUGGUGAGGCUUUUGAAGAUAUUUUUUUAAAAUACUUUUUAAGGAAAAGGAGAGAAUAAAACAUUCAUCGGAGGAAAAAAAAACAGCGAAGUGUUAUGGCCUUGGAGUUUGCUAAAAAUCAAACAACAAAAUCAAAAGUUUUAGUUUUCUUCAUCGUCCCUGAUGGGAGAUUUGUGUAAGAAUUCCUGAGGUGACUUCAUUGGGCUGUAUUCAGAGGCGGGAGGAAAUAACUAGCUAAAAGAAGGUUUCCACGACAAAUUGGGAGUUUUCCUCUCUAUUUAAAAAUUAAAUUCAAAACAAAUUUCCCCGGAUCUUCCGAUUCUAGCCCCGGAUGCCAGGAGAGAUCACUGCCCGGCUGGCACAUACCGCCCGGAUGACACUACCAUCCCUGAUUUUUGUUUUUCCAAUGUCUGGCUUCUUCCACCUUCGGAAGGAGAAAUGUGAAACUCGCCACGGCCGCCGGCCCACACGGGCUUGUGGCCCUAGCCCGCUGGCCCGAAAUCCGUGACCUGGUGGUUGAGUAAUGUCUUUCGGGGACCAAAUUUUAUAGAGAGAACUAGAGCACUUUUGUUGUGUUUGUAUGUGUGUGCGGGCGUCCCUUGUCAAUUCCCAAAUAAAUUUUUUUUGUUUUUUUUUUCUUUUAACACGGACUUACAUUGUUUCUUUUACGCCUUAGUUCAGCAGCUAGCCAGCUAGCUAGCUAAAAGAUCGUGCCUUUCAAGCAAAAUUGUGUUCUUUAAAAAAAGUGACACAAACAAGAGUUGAGGACAACCCGGGUGGCAGGCGCUUUGGGCUGUCGCUACUGCUUUGUUUUUCUGGAGAUUGUUUGUUUUUCUGUGUCAUCGCUCGUCUGUUGCGGCUGUUUAACACCGGCAAAGAUACCCGGCCCUCGCUAGAGGCUACUGUAGACAAGGUUUGUUCUAUUUUUGCGUUCGUGUAAGUUUAUAUUUUGCCUCUUACAUAAUUGUACUAGGUGUGUACGCUGUGUUUUCAUGACAAUCCUCAUAUUUCUAAGAAUUAUUUUUUGUC
This 1643-nucleotide long non-coding RNA is filed under the name Rattus norvegicus (Norway rat). RNAcentral describes it as "long non-coding RNA NONRATT027968". Lineage: Eukaryota; Metazoa; Chordata; Mammalia; Rodentia; Muridae. The record is from RNAcentral.